RNAcentral lists this long non-coding RNA (1098 nucleotides) under Sinocyclocheilus anshuiensis. Its description in RNAcentral is "lncRNA (ENSSANG00000034886.1)". The record is from RNAcentral. Lineage: Eukaryota; Metazoa; Chordata; Actinopteri; Cypriniformes; Cyprinidae.
CACCACCCAGUGGAACCAUCAAAGGAACUGAAUAUACUGUAACACCGGUAAACGCGAUGGCGGCAGCUGGCAUUCAGAAACAAACAUUCCACGUUAUACAUUGCCUAUUACAAAAUGAACGAGAUAUUGAUAUGGUGGAGACUGAUGGUCCUGAAGAUGAGAACUCAUUUGACCCUGUAAAAAUAGCCUCUAAGCUCAGGGAACUGGGUGACGAGUAUGAUGAGAAAGUGAUCCAGCCACUGAUGAAGAAUGUACAGAGAGCUGCAGCCGAUCAGGUGGUGACUGUGUUUAGUGAUAGCGUGGACAGCCUGUGUAAGAUGUGGGUUGUGGAUAGAGCAGAAGUGGCCUCAGAGAAGCAGCUCCUCAAGGCUGCCAUCACACUGGGACUCUUUAUGAAGAAAAACUGCCCUGCCAUGAUGAAUGUAGUUGAGGUCGCUAUGAUGGGAUUCGUAAACAACCGUCUAACAAACUGGAUUGCAGAGCAAGGGGGCUGGGUCUCUGUCUCUGUGAACAGCAUGUGUUGAGAUUGGAGCUCAUGGUCUCAUUCUCUGAGAGACGCUCAAUCAUUUCUCUAAAGUUUGAUUUGUAAUACAGGAUAAACUGUAAAUGGUGCUCUUUUUAGACAAUCACAGCCAGAAAAAUUGAGAAUUUCAUUUUUUACAAUUUUUUUACUCUAAUACAGAUAUUUGUGGCUGAAUGUUUCAAUUGAUGCUGGAAUUCUCAACCAACAUUUUUUUUUUUUAAAUAAUAGACGUGUGUCUUAUGAUGUUGUCAAAUUCUGUAGUCAUAUUUCUUUACAUCACUGAUGUAACUCACAAGUGUGUGUUUUAAAUCCUUUGAAAAUGAAGCACUUUGUACAAAUGUAUCCGUCUCAUAGGGACACGUGUGUUGUAAUAAACAUUAGUGAAAUGUUAGUCUUCCUUCACAAGAGAUCAAAUAAAUAUGGGGUGGACAUAUUGAGCAAUUUUAUGGUUUUAUUCUAUCCUAGUAACAAUAAGGCAAUAACAAUUACUCGCUAAUGACUUCACUUCACUAAUAAUGACUGGGCCAUUCAACAUUCAACAUAAGCAUGCUUAUUUUUACUUGAAUAAAAAUUAG